UUAAAUUGAAGAGUUUGAUCAUGGCUCAGAUUGAACGCUGGCGGCAGGCCUAACACAUGCAAGUCGAACGGUAACAGGAAGAAGCUUGCUUCUUUGCUGACGAGUGGCGGACGGGUGAGUAAUGUCUGGGAAACUGCCUGAUGGAGGGGGAUAACUACUGGAAACGGUAGCUAAUACCGCAUAACGUCGCAAGACCAAAGAGGGGGACCUUCGGGCCUCUUGCCAUCGGAUGUGCCCAGAUGGGAUUAGCUAGUAGGUGGGGUAACGGCUCACCUAGGCGACGAUCCCUAGCUGGUCUGAGAGGAUGACCAGCCACACUGGAACUGAGACACGGUCCAGACUCCUACGGGAGGCAGCAGUGGGGAAUAUUGCACAAUGGGCGCAAGCCUGAUGCAGCCAUGCCGCGUGUAUGAAGAAGGCCUUCGGGUUGUAAAGUACUUUCAGCGGGGAGG
Molecule: ribosomal RNA, 452 nt
Filed under: Escherichia coli
Lineage: Bacteria; Pseudomonadati; Pseudomonadota; Gammaproteobacteria; Enterobacterales; Enterobacteriaceae
Description: bacterial SSU rRNA
Rfam family: Bacterial small subunit ribosomal RNA
Source: RNAcentral